GAAGAGAAUGGAUAAUAUUACAGCAAGCGAAGCAGCUGGUUUAGGAGUGGGUGCUCUGCUACUUUGUGCCACCAUUUCUGCCCCAAAAAUCGAUGCUUUUUUCUCUUCUUCUCAGCGCAGUUCAUUGGGGAUGUGCAAGCGAUGUGGCAAUCUGAGGAGAUUGGCUUGCUCUAGAUGUAAAGGAACCGGGUCAGUCAAAGAAGGGGGAAUAUUUGGUGUUAACCUUAUAGACGAUUUGUAUGAAACACUAGGUAAUCGUGAAUCAAAGGUGAAGCAGAUAGCCUGUGUAAAAUGUCAAGCCAAAGGUUACUUUUCAUGUCCUGAUUGUUCUAAACAAUAAUCAGUGUGGUUUUAUCUUCUCUGCAUUGUGACCAUAAAUCCUCUUAGAUGGUGGUAUGUAACAGCAGUUUAUCUACUGCACAUGUGAAUUGGCUUUAUGCCUUAUUGCAAGAACAAAUAUACUCAGAAUACUGCUUGUUUGCCAGGAUUCCUGAAAAUGUCCCAAAAGAAGGGUUUAUAAAGGUGACUUAGAGAAGCCUUGUAGAUGGAAGUUUAUCUAGAGGCUGAGAGA
This is an RNA transcript of Gastrolobium bilobum, 571 nucleotides long. RefSeq lists it as uncharacterized. The record is from RefSeq and is a predicted model, not a curated record. NCBI's taxonomy places the organism in Eukaryota, Viridiplantae, Streptophyta, Magnoliopsida, Fabales, Fabaceae. The transcript has 3 exons.